RNAcentral lists this ribosomal RNA (265 nucleotides) under Morganella morganii. RNAcentral's name for it is "partial 23S ribosomal RNA". It matches the Rfam family "Bacterial large subunit ribosomal RNA", at positions 455 to 719 of the family's 2925-position model. RNAcentral also lists the same sequence under 1 other name. The record is from RNAcentral. Lineage: Bacteria; Pseudomonadati; Pseudomonadota; Gammaproteobacteria; Enterobacterales; Morganellaceae.
AUCCUCCAAGGCUAAAUACUCCUGAUUGACCGAUAGUGAACCAGUACCGUGAGGGAAAGGCGAAAAGAACCCCGGCGAGGGGAGUGAAAUAGAACCUGAAACCGUGUACGUACAAGCAGUGGGAGCCUUGAUUUAUCAGGGUGACUGCGUACCUUUUGUAUAAUGGGUCAGCGACUUAUAUUCUGUAGCAAGGUUAACCGAAUAGGGGAGCCGUAGGGAAACCGAGUCUUAACUGGGCGAAUGAGUUGCAGGGUAUAGACCCGAA